AGUGCUGUAUAUUGCGACGUCGUUUCAAGACGAAAAUAAUAAAUAUUCGACGCGGAAAAAUGUGAGAUAAAAUAGUUCGUACAAAUAAAAAAAAAGACGAACUAUAUUUAAAACAUUUUUGUGUCUCAUUUUCUGUGAAAAACUUUUUUUUUCAAAACAAUUUCUAAUUUGAAAGAGAAUGAAAACGACUUAGAUCAUUUUAAAAGAUUUAUUUUUGUAUAAUGAUCUAUGUAAAUCGAUUAAUUUUUAUAAAAUAAAAUAAAAAAAAGUUAAAAAUCUGUGGGUUGAACAUCUUAUAAACUCAAUCUUUGUGGAUAUUGUCAAGAGAUAUACAUCAUUAGAUCGACACACCCACAGUUUAUAAAAUAAUCCUGUGAAAGAAAAACAGUCAUAUAAUUAAAGAAAAAAGAUUUGAUUAUCAAAAAUAAUGUUCAACUCACAAAAUAAUUAAUAAUCGAAAAUCAUAAAUAUAUUUAAAACCUCUUAAACUAAUAAAUAAUAUGACAAUUAUAAAAUAUAAAAUAUUAAAUCAAUGGUUACGAUUAUUAAUAAGCGGUCAUAAACCGUUUAAUCAAAUCAUUAAAAAAUUAUAACUCAGUCAUAAAUAUA
Molecule: long non-coding RNA, 609 nt
Organism: Chrysoperla carnea
Lineage: Eukaryota; Metazoa; Arthropoda; Insecta; Neuroptera; Chrysopidae
Exons: 3
Source: RefSeq, a predicted model, not a curated record